Molecule: long non-coding RNA, 826 nt
Filed under: Struthio camelus australis
Lineage: Eukaryota; Metazoa; Chordata; Aves; Struthioniformes; Struthionidae
Description: lncRNA (ENSSCUG00000014685.1)
Source: RNAcentral
CUUGAAUAUAAUGAGACUUCUCAUUAAUGCAUUAAAAUUUGAAUGCAUUUGGAGAGGUAAGCAAGCUGGAAAAUUGUUUUCCCUGGACAAUAAUCUAUCAUUUGUAUUUCAGGAGAAAAUGAAGUUCCGUCUGAAGAUGCGCUAGUACUGCAGCUGCAGCUUGCAAAAGGGCACGAGAAAUUUAUUGAAAUGCUAAAAAGUCAGCAGCAGAUAAUUGUGGAUUUGCAGCAAAAACUUGCUGAACAACAGCAAGUAUUGGUUAGCCAGCAACGGGAAAUUCUUGAACAGCAAAGAAAAAUGUAUGAGCAAAUGGAUCUGAUCAAAGUUCAGUAUGGCAUGCUUUUUGACACAGUGAAACAAAUGUCAUUUCAGAGUUUGCAAGAAGAUAUUCAAAAUUAUUUUGAAAGUCAUCUUCAAGGACUUCAGAAGCAGGUCAGAAAUCAUCUCCAGAAGUCAUACUCUGUCCGUAAAGUAGAAGUGGAUGCAAAAGUGAUUAAUGUUGGGGAGUCUUUGCUGGACUGUGGUCUUUGUGAAAGUGAUGAAUUCUGCAAUUUCCAAAAGACACCUUCACAGUGUGAAAAAUGCACAUUGUGUCCUGCUGGCUUUUUCCAAAUGGCUGAGUGUUCUGCAAACUCUGAUCGGAUUUGUCAGGACAGAGAUGAAUGCACUGAAUCUCCAAGCAUUUGUGGUGAGAGGAUAAAAUGCCUGAAUACGCCAGUGGAUUUCAAUGCUGAUCAGGCAGAGAGGAGGACCAGCUACUGGAGUGACCCACAUCGCACACAUCUAUUCCACCAGUGGAUUUCAAUCCUGAUCGGGCAGAGAGGAG